CACUACCCUGGAGCUUGCACGUUGGGCCGGUGUGCAUGUCCGCUAGACGGAAAGCCUUAAGGUCUACUGCAACUUCCACCUUGAACUUUCGGGUUCAAGGGCCAAGCCGACAGCGGUACGUCGGGGAGCCU
This 131-nucleotide small RNA is filed under the name Pseudomonas sp. Its description in RNAcentral is "partial 6S RNA". It matches the Rfam family "6S / SsrS RNA", at positions 50 to 187 of the family's 187-position model. Rfam says of the family: E. coli 6S RNA was the first non coding RNA to be sequenced, but its function was unknown until recently. It consists of 184 nucleotides that fold into an extended hairpin structure with a large single-stranded internal bulge. The record is from RNAcentral. Lineage: Bacteria; Pseudomonadati; Pseudomonadota; Gammaproteobacteria; Pseudomonadales; Pseudomonadaceae.